ACAGCUAGAUCCGUCAUCUUGGCUGGAAUUCUUUUAAAAUUGGGAACCUACGGGUUUUUAAGAUUUUUAAUACCCAUGUUUCCUGAAGCGACACUUUGUUUCACUCCUUUCAUUUAUACUCUAAGCGCGAUUGCUAUAAUAUAUACUUCCAUGACCACUUUAAGACAGAUCGAUCUUAAGAAGAUCAUUGCCUACUCCUCAGUAGCCCAUAAGAAUUUGGUGACUAUUGGUAUGUUUAGUCGGGCGGCGGCAGUUAGGUCACCUAUUUUGAGUUAUGGACACACAAGCAAGGCCAAAACAUGUGUGCCGGGCGUGUGACCCAUCAACCUACUAGCAAUAGGGGAGAAAACUUAG
RNAcentral lists this ribosomal RNA (354 nucleotides) under Triticum aestivum (bread wheat). RNAcentral describes it as "partial small subunit ribosomal RNA". The record is from RNAcentral. Lineage: Eukaryota; Viridiplantae; Streptophyta; Magnoliopsida; Poales; Poaceae.